UACGUAGGUGGCAAGCGUUAUCCGGAAUUAUUGGGCGUAAAGAGCGCGCAGGUGGUUGAUUAAGUCUGAUGUGAAAGCCCACGGCUUAACCGCGGAGGGUCAUUGGAAACUGGUCGACUUGAGUGCAGAAGAGGGAAGUGGAAUUCCAUGUGUAGCGGUGAAAUGCGUAGAGAUAUGGAGGAACACCAGUGGCGAAGGCGGCUUCCUGGUCUGUAACUGACACUGAGGCGCGAAAGCGUGGGGAGCAAACAGGAUUAGAUACCCGU
This 266-nucleotide ribosomal RNA is filed under the name uncultured prokaryote. Its description in RNAcentral is "partial 16S ribosomal RNA". It matches the Rfam family "Bacterial small subunit ribosomal RNA", at positions 524 to 789 of the family's 1533-position model. The record is from RNAcentral.